UUCAUUUUAGUAUAUCAUGUACAAAGGUUUUUGAUACCUUAGGGGGCAGGUUGAAUCUGUCAAAUGUAA
This 69-nucleotide transfer RNA is filed under the name Histeridae sp. BMNH 1274741. RNAcentral's name for it is "tRNA-Gln". The record is from RNAcentral. Lineage: Eukaryota; Metazoa; Arthropoda; Insecta; Coleoptera; Histeridae.